UACGUAGGGUGCGAGCGUUGUCCGGAAUUAUUGGGCGUAAAGAGCUUGUAGGCGGUCUGUCGCGUUUGCUGUGAAAAUCCGGGGCUCAACCCCGGACUUGCAGUGGGUACGGGCAGACUAGAGUGUGGUAGGGGAGACUGGAAUUCCUGGUGUAGCGGUGAAAUGCGCAGAUAUCAGGAGGAACACCGGUGGCGAAGGCGGGUCUCUGGACCGAUACUGACGCUGAGGAGCGAAAGCGUGGGGAGCGAACAGG
Molecule: ribosomal RNA, 253 nt
Filed under: uncultured bacterium
Lineage: Bacteria
Description: partial 16S ribosomal RNA
Rfam family: Bacterial small subunit ribosomal RNA
Source: RNAcentral